ACUUUUGGGCGGAAAUGGGCUCAUUAAAUCAGUUAUCGUUUAUUUGAUAGUACCUUACUACAUGGAUACCUGUGGUAAUUCUAGAGCUAAUACAUGCUAAAAACCCCGACUUCGGGAGGGGUGUAUUUAUUAGAUAAAAAACCAAUGCCCCUCGGGGCUCCUUGGUGAAUCAUAAUAACUUAACGAAUCGCAUGGCCUUGCGCCGGCGAUGGUUCAUUCAAAUUUCUGCCCUAUCAACUUUCGAUGGUAGGAUAGUGGCCUACCAUGGUGGCAACGGGUAACGGGGAAUUAGGGUUCGAUUCCGGAGAGGGAGCCUGAGAAACGGCUACCACAUCCAAGGAAGGCAGCAGGCGCGCAAAUUACCCAAUCCCGACACGGGGAGGUAGUGACAAUAAAUACUGAUACGGGGCUCUUUUGGGUCUCGUAAUUGGAAUGAGUACAAUCUAAAUCCCUUAACGAGGAACAAUUGGAGGGCAAGUCUGGUGCCAGCAGCCGCGGUAAUUCCAGCUCCAAUAGCGUAUAUUAAAGUUGUUGCAGUUAAAAAGCUCGUAGUUGAACCUUGGGUCUGGCUGGCCGGUCCGCCUCACCGCGAGUACUGGUCCGGCUGGACCUUUCCUUCUGGGGAAUCCCAUGGCCUUCACUGGCUGUGGGUGGAACCAGGACUUUUACUGUGAAAAAAUUAGAGUGUUCAAAGCAGGCCUUUGCUCGGAUACAUUAGCAUGGAAUAAUAGAAUAGGACGUGCGGUUCUAUUUUGUUGGUUUCUAGGACCGCCGUAAUGAUUAAUAGGGAUAGUCGGGGGCGUCAGUAUUCAGCUGUCAGAGGUGAAAUUCUUGGAUUUGCUGAAGACUAACUACUGCGAAAGCAUUCGCCAAGGAUGUUUUCAUUAAUCAGGGAACGAAAGUUAGGGGAUCGAAGACGAUCAGAUACCGUCGUAGUCUUAACCAUAAACUAUGCCGACUAGGGAUCGGGCGGCGUUUCUAUGAUGACCCGCUCGGCACCUUACGAGAAAUCAAAGUUUUUGGGUUCUGGGGGGGAGUAUGGUCGCAAGGCUGAAACUUAAAGAAAUUGACGGAAGGGCACCACAAGGCGUGGAACCCGGCGGCUUAUUUUGACUCAAACCCGGGGAAAACUCACCAGGGCCCAAACAAAAUAAGGGAUUGAACAAAUUGAGAAACUCUUUCCUGGACCCUU
This 1192-nucleotide ribosomal RNA is filed under the name Aspergillus versicolor. RNAcentral's name for it is "SSU rRNA". It matches the Rfam family "Eukaryotic small subunit ribosomal RNA", at positions 78 to 1270 of the family's 1831-position model. Lineage: Eukaryota; Fungi; Ascomycota; Eurotiomycetes; Eurotiales; Aspergillaceae. The record is from RNAcentral.